This 418-nucleotide ribosomal RNA is filed under the name uncultured eukaryote. Its description in RNAcentral is "SSU rRNA". It matches the Rfam family "Eukaryotic small subunit ribosomal RNA", at positions 592 to 1016 of the family's 1831-position model. The record is from RNAcentral.
CAAUAGCGUAUAUUAAAGUUGUUGCGGUUAAAAAGCUCGUAGUUGGAUUUCUGUUGAGGACGACCGGUCCGCCCUCUGGGUGAGUAUCUGGCUCGGCCUUGGCAUCUUCUUGGAGAACGUAACUGCACUUGACUGUGUGGUGCGGUAUCCAGGACUUUACUUGAGGAAAUUAGAGUGUUUCAAGCAGGCGUACGCCUUGAAUACAUUAGCAUGGAAUAAUGAGAUAGGACCUUGGUUCUAUUUUGUUGGUUUCUAGAGCUGAGGUAAUGAUUAAUAGGGAUAGUUGGGGGCAUUCGUAUUUAAUUGUCAGAGGUGAAAUUCUUGGAUUUAUUAAAGACGGACUACUGCGAAAGCAUUUGCCAAGGAUGUUUUCAUUGAUCAAGAACGAAAGUUAGGGGAUCGAAGACGAUCAGAUACC